GCGGGGGUGCCGGAGCGGUCAAACGGAGCAGACUCAAAAUCUGUUGGCUUAGUGCCUACAUAGGUUCAAAUCCUAUCCCCCGCA
This 84-nucleotide transfer RNA is filed under the name Nanobdellota archaeon. RNAcentral's name for it is "tRNA-Leu". It matches the Rfam family "tRNA". From Rfam's summary of the family: Transfer RNA (tRNA) molecules are approximately 80 nucleotides in length. Their secondary structure includes four short double-helical elements and three loops (D, anti-codon, and T loops). Lineage: Archaea; Nanobdellati; Nanobdellota. The record is from RNAcentral.